Molecule: long non-coding RNA, 534 nt
Filed under: Homo sapiens (human)
Lineage: Eukaryota; Metazoa; Chordata; Mammalia; Primates; Hominidae
Description: HSALNT0311841
Source: RNAcentral
UCCAGCCUGGGUGACAGAGUGAGAUUCUAACUCAAAAAAAAUGUAACUGGACGCUUUGCAUUUUUAUUUGCUAAGUCCUCCAAUUCUAUCCAAGACACGGUCUCUCCGAAACUCCGGGAGGCUCCAGAGCAAAACAACGGAAAUAGGAAGACUACCGGUCUUGACUCCUCCCCGCCAUCAAAGAAGGCUGGUACCAUUUCCGGCUUUCCCUAGACAGUAGGGGGCCGGAAGUGACGUCAUCCUAAGGUAGGGCCUUAGCGAGGGAAAUGGCUGCCGCGUAAUGCCCGGUGAUGCGAGAAAGAAGGGCCUGCUGCCACCAGGACCCGUCAUCGCCCAGCCCAGGGACCGCUUCUGAAGGCCAUGCGAGCCCUGGCGGCGCAGACUUACCAGCCCACAGCUCCGGCCGCGGUGCCCAGCGCUGGAGAACGGAAACAUAAUUCAAGACAUUUCCUGAGUGCCUUCUGUGUGGGCCGAAUGCUGUAGCUGCUGGGAUAGAGUUUCACUCUAUCGCCCAGGCUGGAGUGCGAUCUCGGC